ACUAAAGAGAAGUGUUACAAACCAAUUGGUUAUCCACCUGACUUCAAAUUCACCAAAAAUAGAGAGAGAGCACAACAUGAUUUUGGAAGGAGAUAACAAUAAUUCUGGACACAGAGGUGCAAAUGGAUACAAAUCUAGGGGCUAUAGUGCACACGUUGCUAAUGUGAAUUAUCAUGAUAGUUAUGAUCAUCAAACUACUGUUACAACAGAAUAGUUCAAGAAGCUUCUCAACUUGAUAGAUCAGCAGGAUUCUCCUGAAAGAGUAGCUAAUAUAGCAGGAUCUCUACACUAACAAGGUGAAGGGGAUUGGUAAGGUAAAUGAUGGGCUCUACAUUCUCACAUUCAAAUCACCAUCACCUGCCAAUUCUUCCACUCUAUAAGAUAAAUCCGUCUGUUUGUCUACUCAAACUGUCAAUGUUAAGAGCUAUGUUUAGAAUCAAAGGCUUGGUCAUUCACCAAUUCACAUCCUCAAUCAGUUGUAUGUUAUUAAACAUACUCUAGAUAAAAUUCAGAUUUUAUAAUUGUACGACUUGUUCUAUUGCAAAACAAACUAGAUUGCCUUUUUCCUAUUAAUAAGACUGCUUCUGUUCAAGCUUUUCAA
This is a long non-coding RNA of Solanum dulcamara, 601 nucleotides long. RefSeq lists it as uncharacterized. The record is from RefSeq and is a predicted model, not a curated record. Lineage: Eukaryota; Viridiplantae; Streptophyta; Magnoliopsida; Solanales; Solanaceae. The transcript has 2 exons.